This 460-nucleotide ribosomal RNA is filed under the name uncultured bacterium. RNAcentral describes it as "partial 16S ribosomal RNA". It matches the Rfam family "Bacterial small subunit ribosomal RNA", at positions 338 to 795 of the family's 1533-position model. The record is from RNAcentral.
CCUACGGGGGGCAGCAGUGAGGAAUAUUGGUCAAUGGACGAGAGUCUGAACCAGCCAAGUAGCGUGCAGGAUGACUGCCCUAUGGGUUGUAAACUGCUUUUAUAUGGGAAUAAAAUGUUCCACGUGUGGGAUUUUGUAUGUACCAUAUGAAUAAGGAUCGGCUAACUCCGUGCCAGCAGCCGCGGUAAUACGGAGGAUGCGAGCGUUAUCCGGAUUUAUUGGGUUUAAAGGGAGCGUAGGUGGAUUGUUAAGUCAGUUGUGAAAUUUUGCGGCUCAACCGUAAAAUUGCAGUUGAAACUGGCAGUCUUGAGUACAGUAGAGGUGGGCGGAAUUCGUGGUGUAGCGGUGAAAUGCUUAGAUAUCACGAAGAACUCCGAUUGCGAAGGCAGCUCACUGGACUGCAACUGACACUGAGGCUCGAAAGUGUGGGUAUCAAACAGGAUUAGAUACCCGAGUAGUC